AGCGAACGCUGGCGGCAGGCCUAACACAUGCAAGUCGAACGGAUCCUUCGGGAUUAGUGGCGGACGGGUGAGUAACACGUGGGAACGUGCCCUUUGGUUCGGAACAACUCAGGGAAACUUGAGCUAAUACCGGAUGUGCCCUUCGGGGGAAAGAUUUAUCGCCAUUGGAGCGGCCCGCGUCUGAUUAGCUAGUUGGUGAGGUAACGGCCCACCAAGCCGACGAUCAGUAGCUGGUCUGAGAGGAUGAUCAGCCACACUGGGACUGAGACACGGCCCAGACUCCUACGGGAGGCAGCAGUGGGGAAUCUUGCGCAAUGGGCGAAAGCCUGACGCAGCCAUGCCGCGUGAAUGAUGAAGGUCUUAGGAUUGUAAAAUUCUUUCAGCGGGGACGAUAAUGACGGUACCCGCAGAAGAAGCUCCGGCUAACUUCGUG
Molecule: ribosomal RNA, 433 nt
Filed under: uncultured bacterium
Lineage: Bacteria
Description: partial 16S ribosomal RNA
Rfam family: Bacterial small subunit ribosomal RNA
Source: RNAcentral